Mustela erminea (ermine) is the source of this 954-nucleotide long non-coding RNA. RefSeq lists it as uncharacterized. Lineage: Eukaryota; Metazoa; Chordata; Mammalia; Carnivora; Mustelidae. The transcript is spliced from 2 exons. The record is from RefSeq and is a predicted model, not a curated record.
AUCUGCUUCCAGAACAUGGCUGACUGCUGGUAACCGAGACCGCAGGGAAGUGAAACAGCAGAUAAGGGGGGACGCUGGCCCACGGGAAAUGAAUCCGGGUCUACUGUGCAGUUCAGACCAGGUGUUGGCUCCUGUAUAUAUAGACCUGCUUUGCUUUGAGCCUGUCAAAGCACUGCUUCAUUUACAUUUUGGCCUAAACUCUAUCCUUCCCCCAAAUCCUCUAAUUCUCUCUUUUCCUGUUUGGUCAGAUACCCCUAGUUCCUCCCGUGUGGCCUCCCUCAUUGCAAUGAAUUAGUAAAUCGGAUUUUGUCAAACUACAGAUUUGUUCCUAGGGAUCCUAGGCUGAUUGGGCCAGGGUGUGGGUAAUGGGGAUACACAGGUUUUUUGCACUAUUCCCUCUGCUAUUACAAAUGACUCACAUUUUCCACGUUUGCAAGCUCUUCAGAGGUCCUCACCCCGUCAUGAUAGUAGGAGCCAUGGCGUUGAGAUCUCUGCAAGGGUGAAUAACAGCCCUCCAAAGACAUCCAGGUCCUGAUCCUCGACACUUGUAUGUUAUCUUAAUAACAAAAGGGACUUCACAGAUUUAAUUAAGGCUAAAGAUCUUGAGAUGGGGAGAGUAUUCGGCCCCAGUAUAAUCACGCGGGUCCUUAAAAGCAGAGAAGCUUCCCUGGCUGCAGUCAGAAAGAAAUGUGACCACGGAAGGAGGGUCAGAGACUUUGCUGGUCUUGAAGGCAGGAGAAGGGGCCACAAGUCAGGGAAUGUGGGCAGCCUCGAGAAGACAGAAAAGGCAAGGAAACAGAUUCUCCUCCAGAACCUCCAGAAAGGAAUGCAGGCCUGCUGAUCAUCUGAUUCGAGCUCAGUGGGACUCAUGUCAGAGUUCUGACUGUAGAACUAGAAGUUAAAUGUGCUACUUUAAGCCACAUUGUGGCAACUUGAUAUGGCAGCACAAAAAAA